RNAcentral lists this ribosomal RNA (465 nucleotides) under Vreelandella stevensii. Its description in RNAcentral is "partial 16S ribosomal RNA". It matches the Rfam family "Bacterial small subunit ribosomal RNA", at positions 338 to 795 of the family's 1533-position model. The record is from RNAcentral. Lineage: Bacteria; Pseudomonadati; Pseudomonadota; Gammaproteobacteria; Oceanospirillales; Halomonadaceae.
CCUACGGGUGGCAGCAGUGGGGAAUAUUGGACAAUGGGGGCAACCCUGAUCCAGCCAUGCCGCAUGUGUGAAGAAGGCCCUCGGGUUGUAAAGCACUUUCAGUGAGGAAGAACGCCUGGUGGUUAAUACCCAUCAGGAAAGACAUCACUCACAGAAGAAGCACCGGCUAACUCCGUGCCAGCAGCCGCGGUAAUACGGAGGGUGCGAGCGUUAAUCGGAAUUACUGGGCGUAAAGCGCGCGUAGGUGGCUUGAUAAGCCGGUUGUGAAAGCCCCGGGCUCAACCUGGGAACGGCAUCCGGAACUGUCAAGCUAGAGUGCAGGAGAGGAAGGUAGAAUUCCCGGUGUAGCGGUGAAAUGCGUAGAGAUCGGGAGGAAUACCAGUGGCGAAGGCGGCCUUCUGGACUGACACUGACACUGAGGUGCGAAAGCGUGGGUAGCAAACAGGAUUAGAUACCCGUGUAGUC